GAAAUGCGAUAAGUAGUGUGAAUUGCAGAAUUCAGUGAAUCAUCGAAUCUUUGAACGCACAUUGCGCCCCUUGGUAUUCCAUGGGGCAUGCUUGUUCGAGCGUCAUUUGUACCCUCAAGCUUUGCUUGGUGUUGGGUGUUUGUCCUUUCCCUGGUGUUUGGACUCGCCUUAAAUUCAUUGGCAGCCGGUGUAUUGGUUUGAAGCGCAGCACAAUUUGCGAUUCUCGCCAGCUAUAUCAGCGUCCACUAAGCAACAUAACACUUUUGACCUCGGAUCAAGUAGGGAUACCCGCUGAACUUAA
RNAcentral lists this unclassified non-coding RNA (301 nucleotides) under uncultured Pleosporales. Its description in RNAcentral is "sequence contains ITS1". The stretch from base 1 to 105 matches the Rfam family "5.8S ribosomal RNA", at positions 50 to 154 of the family's 154-position model. Lineage: Eukaryota; Fungi; Ascomycota; Dothideomycetes; Pleosporales. The record is from RNAcentral.